GGGGUGUUGUUGAACACAAGGCCCAACAGCAGUGGAGACUUUGUUCCAGCCUUGGGCUGAGAGUGGGAUGGUGGUUUGUCUAGACAUUUUUCACUUUUCACUGGAUCCACCAGUUUGAUGCAGCAUCUGAACUGACAGCCACUGUGCUGCAUUCAAGUCUGCACUGGCUGAGGCUGUUCUGGCCUACAACAAAAGCCACUUGGAUCUGCUCAUAAAGGCUGUCAAGGGCUGAGGGGGAAGCCUUGAAGACUUUAUCAGAUGACUGCAUUAUUCAGCAGCACAUUUCCAGGAAGCAGGUGAAGCACCACGUGUGGAGGGGAACUCUAGGACCACAGGAAACCUUCCAGUUCAUCCAGAUGGUGAUAGGAGCUGAAAGGUCCAGCUGGACUGGAUGAAAGUGGAGUGAGCCUCCUCAAAACACCAAAGGACAUCGAUGAGGUGUGGGCAUGCCAGCAGUGGCAUCUGGGCUCCAUUCAGGAUCCACCGGACUUGUGCAUGUACAGGGUGUUACCACCAUCAACGGUGUGGAUGUUCCUUUCUACAAAGGACUUUGUGGAAGCAACAGCCUGGACGGUUUCCACAAAGUGCAGCUAACAUGAUUCCAGGUAGAACACUGACGUGCAUAGAAGCAGCACAUGAAAUGUUAUGAAAAAUGAGGUUCCUGAAAAAUGUCACCACACAUGGCCACACUGUGCUGCACAUCCGUAUCAGGUGUACCUCAGAAGCGGCAUUGCUCGGUGGAAUUCUGACAGGAGCGCAGAUGUCGUGUUUGGAGGCAGAGACACAGGACGUACUCUGCUCUACUGCUGCAUGUUGUCUUUUUAUUCUCAGAUUUGUUUUUGUUUUUUAAAACAGGAGGUCUGCAGUCCGAAUCCUCUUCCUGGUUUCCAGAAGUUGGAGGGAUUCUGCUCUCUGCUCGUGGGGAUUGGCAUGACUGAGAACAAGCUGUCCCUCCUCACAGAGCAAAGAAGUGGGGUUGGGGAAGCCUGGAAUGCCGUGGAGGAACAUGACAAGCAGCCGCAGACGUUUCAACAGCUGUACAGGAUGCACUGAGGCAACACCCUGUACUGCCGAACCAAGAGGGACGAUCUUGUUGACGCUGCUGUUAUCCAGAAAGUCAAAAUGGCUGAACGAUAUGCACCAGCUCAGCAAGACAUCACUGCCCAAAAAAACAGGCUGAUGUACACACUGGUGAAACUGUUGUGGCUGCGGACACCUCACGGCUCUCAAAGCAGCAUCCUAAAAGCGUAUGAACGCUUUCUUCCAGCAUCGUCUUCUGGUGAAGUACCCAAUCCUGUCCAAAGCGGGAUCUCUCCACCGUAGAUGAACAGCAACACGGUGAGAGACUUAAUACGUUUUCAGGAGAGGCUGCUGAACCUCAACGCCACCAAGCAGCCAUCCACCAUCACCUCCUCUGAGCUACCUCCAGCACCACAUCAGCCAGCUGUGCUGCCCCUCCAAGAUUACGUAUGCGCCCACCCAAAGCACCGCUGGAACAAAAAAGAUAAGAAAACAAAAAAAAAAAACAGAAAUCCCUCUGCCAUCUUCCACCUCCUUCCCAAAACCACCUGCACUAAUCCAGCACCAGAGAAAGCUAAAAUAAAAAAACUCCAACACCCCACAGCUGCUGCCUCAUCCUCCCUGAGCAUCUCCAUCAUUCAAAAAUACCUACUCCUGACAUUCCCUCCUCCAGCAACAGCACCUCCUCCAGCAACAGCACCUCCUCCAGCAUCAGCACCCCCUCCUGGGCAAAAGCCACUAUAAAAAAAAAGGAAUCUCAAAGAAAACUGCUCAGGAGGUGAAGUUAAACAAUCAAGGGUAGAAAAUCUCCCCGUUUGCAUCAUCUGUGGCCAAUCCCUGCCACAAAAAGAAAAGUGUUUUUGCACAGUGAGUCGACAUCAAAAGGACUUGAAAACAGGGUUUAGGAAAGCUUUGGGGCCACACUGUGCUGCACAUCCGUAUCAGGUGUACCUCAGAAGCGGCAUUGCUCGGUGGAAUUCUGACAGGCUGAUUUACAGGCUCAACAGGGAAAUCUGGGCCUUCUUCCCUGCAGGACAUCAUGUCUGAUGGACCUGGUGUUGAUCCAGAAUUGGAGGAUGAUGACAUUCAUCAGCCCAGCCCACAUAAAUCUGACACCUCCACUCCUCACCGUCCAGCCUUUGUGAGUAGCCUCUUUUUAAAAGGCACAGACAGUCUACUGAAUAUUGGUCUUUUUAUUCUCUGAAACAUUUAUUUUUAAACUUUUGUUCUUUAAAACAGGAAGUUUGCAGUCCGAAUCCUCUUCCUGGUUUCCAGAAGUUGGAGAGAUUCUGCUCUCUGCUGGUGGGGAUUGGCAUGACUGAGAACAAGCUGUCCCUCCUCACAGAGCAAAGGAGUGAGGUUGUGGAAGCCUGGAAUGCCGUGGAGGAACAUGACAAGCAGCCGCAGACGUUUCACCAGCUGUACAGGACUCACUGAGGCAACAUCCUGUACUGCCGAACCAAGAGGGAUGAUCUUGUUGAAGCUGCUGUUAUCCAGAAAAGUCAAAAUGGCUAAAUGGUACGCACCAGCUCAGCAAUACAUGUCCAGCCUAUUCUGCUAAGACUAGCCAAUUGUUUACUUGAGCUGUAACUCCGGUUACCCAGUUCGAGUAAGUUAGAUUUUAAUUGUAAGUAUGCCUACCGGUAGCUUCAUAUGGUAUAGGCAAUAUAACCAUCGACGGCACUAGCAAAAAAAAAAAAAA
Molecule: long non-coding RNA, 2722 nt
Organism: Oryzias latipes (Japanese medaka)
Lineage: Eukaryota; Metazoa; Chordata; Actinopteri; Beloniformes; Adrianichthyidae
Source: RefSeq, a predicted model, not a curated record